Molecule: transfer RNA, 73 nt
Filed under: bacterium
Lineage: Bacteria
Also listed under: 5 other names
Description: tRNA-Asn
Rfam family: tRNA
About the family: Transfer RNA (tRNA) molecules are approximately 80 nucleotides in length.
Source: RNAcentral
UCCCCUGUAGCUCAGUUGGUAGAGCAGGUGGCUGUUAACCACCUUGUCACAGGUUCGAGUCCUGUCGGGGGAG